This 750-nucleotide ribosomal RNA is filed under the name uncultured Lachnospiraceae bacterium. RNAcentral's name for it is "bacterial SSU rRNA". It matches the Rfam family "Bacterial small subunit ribosomal RNA", at positions 28 to 776 of the family's 1533-position model. Lineage: Bacteria; Bacillati; Bacillota; Clostridia; Lachnospirales; Lachnospiraceae. The record is from RNAcentral.
GAUGAACGCUGGCGGCGUGCUUAACACAUGCAAGUCGAACGAAGCGUAUUCAAGCGAAGUUUUCGGACAAAGCGAGGAUAUGACUUAGUGGCGGACGGGUGAGUAACGCGUGGGCAACCUGCCUUUCACAGCGGGAUAACAGAGGGAAGCUUCUGCUAAUACCGCAUAUACCUUUAUAACGCAUGUUAGGGAGGGGAAAGAAUUAUCGGUGAGAGAUGGGCCCGCGUCCGAUUAGAUAGUUGGUGGGGUAACAGCCUACCAAGUCAACGAUCGGUAGCCGGCUUGAGAGAGUGAACGGCCACAUUGGGACUGAGACACGGCCCAAACUCCUACGGGAGGCAGCAGUGGGGGAUAUUGGACAAUGGGGGCAACCCUGAUCCAGCGACGCCGCGUGAGUGAAGAAGUAUUUCGGUACGUAAAGCUCUAUCAGCAGGGAAGAAAGAAGACGGUACCUGACUAAGAAGCCCCGGCUAACUACGUGCCAGCAGCCGCGGUAAUACGUAGGGGGCAAGCGUUAUCCGGAAUUACUGGGUGUAAAGGGAGCGUAGACGGUUAAACAAGUCUGAAGUGAAAUGCCGGGGCUCAACCUCGGAGCUGCUUUGGAAACUGUAGAACUGGAGUGUCGGAGGGGUAAGCGGAAUUCCCAGUGUAGCGGUGAAAUGCGUAGAUAUUGGGAGGAACACCGGCGGCGAAGGCGGCUUACUGGACGACAACUGACGUUGAGGCUCGAAGGCGUGGGUAGCAAACAGG